Long non-coding RNA from Cucumis sativus (cucumber), 989 nucleotides. RefSeq lists it as uncharacterized. The transcript has 2 exons. Lineage: Eukaryota; Viridiplantae; Streptophyta; Magnoliopsida; Cucurbitales; Cucurbitaceae. The record is from RefSeq and is a predicted model, not a curated record.
GAGAAUUUUUUUUUUUUUUCCCUUUAUUAUUUUAUUUUUAUUUUAAAUUAAUAAAAAAAUAUAAUAAAAAUAAAAAUAUAAUAAUAAUAAUAAAAAAAAAUAUUUACCUUUCCUUUGGGGCAUUACAAACACUUACACCGUCUACCGUCAACUAAGUACCAAAUCCUUCACUUUUGAUCGUUCGUCGCCUGCUGUCCAUUGUGUACCAGAACCUAGCAACACUUCCACCAUUCGACCGUUUUGUUGGUGCCUUUAUGUUAUCGUUGCUCAAUGGUAUGCUUUUCUUUGAUCUGGGCUAAAAUCUCAUGGCAACAACAAGCAAGAUGACCCCAACAAGAAGGACAAGAAACAACACCCUUCAUCGUCGUAUUGGCGAUCUCUUUGAGGUUGUUGCAUCUGUACUCAGAAAAAAUGGUGGAUCAAUGCGCGUUAGGAUGGAUCUUGGCCUCUCUUCUCAAAGCUUUGGCUUUAUAUUUAUUGUUCGGCAAGAAAAACUGUGGAGUUUCGAAUGAAUGGAGGUGUGAAAGCCUAAAGAAUAUCGCCACCACGGAUGGGGAAUGCAAAUCGAGUAAUAGCGACAGCGACAUUAUCAUUGUCGAAGUCGGUGUCGCCAAUCCUGUCUUGCCUAUACUCUCGCCAAGAUUCUGGCGGUGAAGAAGAUCAUGAAACGGAGGACACUGAUGGUGUGGAAGUGGAACAUCUACACAUUUCAGAUUACCAAGGUUUUGCACUAAUAUCCGAUUGAUUUACUAUAGUGAUGAAGCUACCAAGCAAGUGAUUGAUAUUUGAUUAGUGACAAGACUUGUUGUAAUUUCGUUAUCCACGACAAUACCUUGUAUUUAGUUUCUUUGUAAAAAUAUAUUACCAAGGUUUAGUUUCUAUUUUACUUGUAUUUAUCCCUUUGGGAAAAUUCGAUAGAUUUUGUGUACUUAGUUUCUUUGUAAAAAUGUUAACUAUGUUAUUGUUAUAUAUGAAAGUUCUUAUUUAUA